UACGAAGGGGGCUAGCGUUGCUCGGAAUCACUGGGCGUAAAGCGCACGUAGGCGGAUUGUUAAGUCAGGGGUGAAAUCCUGGAGCUCAACUCCAGAACUGCCUUUGAUACUGGCGACCUUGAGGCUGGAAGAGGUUAGUGGAAUUCCCAGUGUAGAGGUGAAAUUCGUAGAUAUUGGGAAGAACACCAGUGGCGAAGGCGGCUAACUGGUCCAGAUCUGACGCUGAGGUGCGAAAGCGUGGGGAGCAAACAGG
This 253-nucleotide ribosomal RNA is filed under the name uncultured bacterium. Its description in RNAcentral is "partial 16S ribosomal RNA". It matches the Rfam family "Bacterial small subunit ribosomal RNA", at positions 524 to 776 of the family's 1533-position model. The record is from RNAcentral.